RNAcentral lists this ribosomal RNA (220 nucleotides) under uncultured bacterium. Its description in RNAcentral is "partial 16S ribosomal RNA". It matches the Rfam family "Bacterial small subunit ribosomal RNA", at positions 1281 to 1500 of the family's 1533-position model. The record is from RNAcentral.
GCCAAUCUCAGUUCGGAUUGUAGGCUGCAACUCGCCUACAUGAAGUUGGAAUCGCUAGUAAUCGCGAAUCAGAAUGUCGCGGUGAAUACGUUCCCGGGUCUUGUACACACCGCCCGUCACACCACGAGAGUUUACAACACCCGAAGUCAGUGGCCUAACCGCAAGGAGGGAGCUGCCUAAGGUGGGGUAGAUGAUUGGGGUGAAGUCGUAACAAGGUAGC